This 253-nucleotide ribosomal RNA is filed under the name uncultured bacterium. RNAcentral describes it as "partial 16S ribosomal RNA". It matches the Rfam family "Bacterial small subunit ribosomal RNA", at positions 524 to 776 of the family's 1533-position model. The record is from RNAcentral.
UACGAAGGGGGCUAGCGUUGUUCGGAUUUACUGGGCGUAAAGAGCACGUAGGCGGAUCGUUAAGUCGGGGGUGAAAUCCUGGAGCUCAACUCCAGAACUGCCUUCGAUACUGGCGAUCUCGAGUCCGGAAGAGGUGAGUGGAACUCCUAGUGUAGAGGUGGAAUUCGUAGAUAUUAGGAAGAACACCAGUGGCGAAGGCGACUCACUGGUCCGGUACUGACGCUGAGGUGCGAAAGCGUGGGGAGCAAACAGG